CUGGAAAAGUCUGUUAAGUUCCUCAGGCUUCCCCUGCUGAUUAAUAUCCUCAAAGGGUGCCUGCAUUAUCUUCCCCAACCCGGGACUGACCCCGAGGCUCCAAAUCACCUGCCUUCCUCCAAGCAAACUUCCGUCUCCCAGCUGACCUCGGCUAGGCAUACGGAGCAAUACACUAACACACCAUCGCUAAGCCUCCCUUUCAACUCUUCUAAGUUUUUGGAUUUUUAAAAGAGAAAACAUGUUAUCUUCCCCCACCCUUACUCCCCAAAGGAACUUAAGGCAAAA
This 285-nucleotide long non-coding RNA is filed under the name Pan troglodytes (chimpanzee). Its description in RNAcentral is "long non-coding RNA NONPTRT013007". The record is from RNAcentral. Lineage: Eukaryota; Metazoa; Chordata; Mammalia; Primates; Hominidae.